AGAGCGAGCGAGGAAGGGAGGGGGAGAGAGAGAGAGAGAGAGAACAGAUCUAGAUCGGGUUAAUCAAGGACACGAAUUUGAAAAUCUCACUCAAAUAUGAAAUUUGAUUUGUAAGCCAGGGAGAGAAGAGAUCUAGAUCGAUAUUGAUAUUCGGAUCGAGAUUGAGAUCAAUCAAGGCGAUGAAUCUAAAGUUUUCAUUCAUACAUGAACUUUGAAUUAUAGAUCUAACACUUUGAGGGUAUUUUAAUUUGUAUCCAAUGGCUGAGAUCAAGGCUGCUAUUGAGGUUUCCAACACAUGGAUGAGGUUGUUCAAUAUGGUCUUUGGCAUCGACCUAGUGGGACAACUGAAUUUUUAAAUUUCAUUAUUUUGAGUCAAUUUGUGAGGAACUUGUAGUAGUUUACUUACCUUUUUAUAAUAAAUGGAACCUUGAUAUUGUCAUUUCUAUAGAAGCUUAAUGUU
Rosa chinensis is the source of this 460-nucleotide long non-coding RNA. RefSeq lists it as uncharacterized. Lineage: Eukaryota; Viridiplantae; Streptophyta; Magnoliopsida; Rosales; Rosaceae. The transcript is spliced from 3 exons. The record is from RefSeq and is a predicted model, not a curated record.